Molecule: ribosomal RNA, 253 nt
Filed under: uncultured bacterium
Lineage: Bacteria
Description: partial 16S ribosomal RNA
Rfam family: Bacterial small subunit ribosomal RNA
Source: RNAcentral
UACGUAGGGAGCUAGCGUUGUUCGGAAUUACUGGGCGUAAAGCGCGCGUAGGCGGCUUUGUAAGUUAGAGGUGAAAGCCCGGGGCUCAACCCCGGAAUUGCCUUUAAGACUGCAUCGCUUGAAUCCGGGAGAGGUGAGUGGAAUUCCGAGUGUAGAGGUGAAAUUCGUAGAUAUUCGGAAGAACACCAGUGGCGAAGGCGGCUCACUGGACCGGCAUUGACGCUGAGGUGCGAAAGCGUGGGGAGCAAACAGG